UAAUAAGCAUAGUUAUUUAUCCAAAAAUACAUUUCUAUCUGCCAUGGCAGUCUACAAGAGCCCCUCGUCUUUUCCCAGCCGUUGUUCUAAUAUUUGUACAAAAAAUUGCAGAUAAUGGAGUUAUUAGUCCAUCUCUUGUUGCAUGUAGAGCUACUCCUCAGAAGUGGACCAUUCUAGAAGCAACUUAUGAACUCUCUAAACACCACCAAAUUAUUCUGAAUGAAAGAAGUUUUAAGGUUAUUUAUGUUCUAUACUAUAUAUUUAUAUAUAUAUUUUUUAUAUUAUGUGCCGGUGUAUAUUUUUACACUUUUAUAUUAUGUGUCGAUUUAUAUUUUUACACUUUUCCAUAUUCUUAAAAUCUUGUAAAAGCCAAACAAAGAGGGGGAAAAAGCUCAACCUGCGGGAAUGUAAAAACCAUGUUCUCUCAAGAGUCUGAAGAAAAGUGAAAGAUCAUGAAGAGAGUAUCCAUCAAAAGAAGUGGCUUCCAUAUAAUGUCGCCAGAGAACUGAUUCAAUCUCUUCCUGAAAAUGGUAGUCAACACCUAGUCGCUGGAUAGCAUCCACCAACAUUGAGCUUUCUAUUUGAUUUUCUAAUUCCUCUGAUUUCAAUAAUUCCCUGACAUCCUUCAGUUUUUGUUCAUAUUCCGUGGAAAAUUCAUCCUGCAAGUAAGACUGGUUUUUGCUUUACACUUUUUCAUAACUAUUUUUAUGCGGAAAUUUCCAUAACUAUAUAUUUAUAUACUUUUUUAUAUUUUUUAUACUUGAUGAUAGUGACUUGUCGGCGGGACUAUUUCUCCCGGAAAUUGUUGAUGAGAAGAUGAGACCAACUUGUGAAUACCGUAGGGUUAUACAUUAAACUAAAAAUUACUUCCUAAUAGUCACUCCAGAUGAAGUGAAGAAAUUCUUCCAAUAUGAUCCAUACACAGAAGAUGAUAAUGACAUACUUGUGGGAGAUUUCUUUACUGUACAAAAUUAUAAAAGGAUUGAAACCCAAAUAAUUUCAAAUGAGACAAAUAACUUGUUCUCAGGAAAUUAUUCGUCAUUCAACCUGAAGAACUAACAAAUGAAGACGAAAACCAUAUAGAAAUCAAGGAAUAAAUUAUAAGGGGGUAAAUUCAAAGAAGACGAAAUUAACAUGCAAGUCGAUAAGCAGAUCGAAGUCUAGUUAAGUUUGAAUUGAGUGAUUUAGGCUAUUCAUAUCAUAUUCAAAAGGACAAAGUAAGGUUUUGGAAUAUAUACCAAUUAUGGUGUUAAGAUAUUAUUUUUAUUGUAUCUUUUCAGGUAUGAUGAAAAUAUCGUACAAGAAUACGAAAAGAAAGGAGAGUAAAAGUCAAGGGCUAAAGGAGAGACCUUAUAAACACGGUGAGUAUUGCAGCCCUUUCUUUAAACCUAUUUUGUGCACACAUUAAGUACAAAGUGUAUAAAAAUAUUGCCUUAUUUUAUUUUGAUAAUCUGAGUUGGUUAGGCUUGCUGGCCUAACGAUUAUGGUUAUUUGAAAUUUCUUAUGAAGCAUAAAUUGAGACUAGGUAAUGUAUUUAUUUAUUUUGCUAAUUUGAUACUUAUACAUUUUUUAUCGUAUUCAAUAGAGUAUAUAAUCAUGAUAAUGAAUAUGAAUUUUUGGAUUGUUUACGGUAAUACAAUAUGUUGAAUGAACUUUACGUCUGUUUCAAUCCUACCUACUACUGGAAUAUAAAUAUAAAAAAACAACCACUUGACCAACUGGAAUGACUAGUUUGGGGAUGGUUGAUCUGUAUUGAAAAUCCUACCUACUACAAAAGAGAGGAUGGAGUUUUACUGUUCAUUUUUGGGCCAUUUUCACACUAGGAUUGGUUUCAAACUGGUUCAUUCUGUUGUUUUAAUAACGCAUGGGUCGACUUUGACCAAUAAAUAAUGAAAUUGAGAAAACGCAGCUAAAAAUGGACAUAAGUAUUUACGUGAUUCACCCAAAUUUUGGCUACGUUCACGGGCAAGUAUAGGAGGAUUUUACUAUAGUAGGAGAAUUACAACAACUCUCUAAAUACAAGGGGAUACCAACAAUUAAUAUCUCUUUUAAUAGAAAAAACAAGUAGGAAAUACUAUAGGAAGAAACAAUAAUUUUUCUCUCUAUUUUUAUCUCUCUACUCACAAUUUUCUCUCCACUCAAUAUUUUCUUUUCUCUCAAUUUUUUUCUCUCCAACACGGCUUAUUUCACUUGGCGUGUUAAUUCUCUAUUUAUAGAGAAAUUUGGCUUCAAACCGUCUCACUUUGUUUGGCUCAAAACUUGCCAUCAAGGUGCAUAUGAAAGAGGAGAGUAGGAUGCAUGUGAGAGCCUGGUUGGAGAAUUAAUAGCCUUGCAUGUGGGAGACUUGUUCAUAAAGAAAGUGGCUGGACCAAAGCUCAAAAAUUCCACUGCCUAUGUAUUAAAUGCUUGCAUGAAUUUUGUCAUUUUGUAGUUAAAAUUUGUGGCUUUAAUUUUCAACAUUUCUCCCACUUAAAGUCACUUUUGUUGACCACUUCAAUCCUACCCAUACUUGCCAUUUCCAUGCCACUUACGUUUCUGCCAAGCCGAUAGAGGAUCGACACCAAAUGAACUUGUCAGUACCGAUUGGCUUUGUCAACAUAUCUGCUAGGUUGUCCAUUGUAUGGAUUUUCUAUAUAUCCACACUUCCUUUUUCUACCUUCUCUCGAACAAAGUGAUACUAGACUCGAAUAUGCUUUGUCCUCUGAUGAAAUACUGGAUUCUUUACCAAAUGCAAAGCACUCUGACUAUCACAAAAUAGAGUAAUCUUCUCUUGUUUGUGUCCGAGCUCCUCCAUUAACAUUUGUAACAAGAUUGUCUCUUUCCUGGCUUGUGUAGCUGCCACGUAUUCUGCUCCGUCGUAGAAGUAGCCACGAUAGGCUGUAGUUUCGAAACCCAGCCUACAGCUCCUCCAGCAAGAGUAAACACAUAUCCAGUGGUGGACUUACUUUUGUCAAGAUCACCUGCAUAAUCUGAAUCAACAUAGCCUCUGACAAUAAAAUCUGAUCCGCCAUAACAUAAUGUAACAUUUGAGGUACCCUUGACAUAUCUCAGGAUCCUCUUUACAGUACUCCAAUGCUCUUUAUCAAGAUUUGCCAUGUAUCGACUAACCACUCCUACUGCUUGUGCAAUGUCUGGUCUUGUACAGAUCAUAACAAACAUCAGGCUACCCACUACUGAUGCAUACGGUACUCGAGACAUCUCCACUUUCUCUGCUUCUUUGCUAGGACUCAUACUUGAGGAUAACUUAAAAUUAAUAGGAAGAGGGGUAGAAAUUGGCUUACAAUCUUUCAUAUUGAAGCGAUGCAAGAUUUUCUUCAAGUAGUUCUUCUAAUUAAGCCAAAUCUUUCUAUUAUUUCUGUCUCGAUAAAUUUGCAUCCCUAGAAUCUUGUUUGUUGGUCCCAAGUCCUUCAUUUCAAACUCCCUAGCUAACUGUGCCAUCAAAUUAUCAAUACGAUCUUUGUUCGAGCCUAUUACCAACAUGUCAUCAACAUACAACAGCAGAAUAAUGAAAUCAUUAUCACCAAAUCUCAUCUAGUAUGCACAUGGAUCUUAACUAAGUUUGUUGUAUCCAAGGCUCAUGAUGAAGGAAUCAAAUCUCUUAUACCAACAUCUCGGCACCUGUUUGAGACCGUAUAGAGAUUUGUUCAACCUGCAAACCAAGUUCUCUUUUCCUUUUUCUUCAAAACCUUCUGGUUGGAGCAUAUAAAUCUCUUCUUCAAGUUCUCCAUGAAGAAAUGCAAUUUUUACAUCUAAUUGCUCGAAGUGUAAGUCAAAUGUAGUACACAUUCCCAAGACUACUCGAAUUGUUGUGGUCGAACCACAGGAAAAAAUAUUUCGUUGAAGUCUAUGCCUUCUUUCUGAGCAUACCCUUUCACCACCAGUCUCGCACGAUACCGCUCCACUUGGUCAUUGCUAUCUCGUUUUAUCUUAUAGACCCAUUUAUUCCCAAUGGCCUUCCUUCCAUGUGGUAGUGGAACAAGAUUCCAUGUCUUGUUCUUAUGAAGAGUUUCAAUUUCUUCUUGCAUUACAGCCAUCCACUGAGAAACUUCUUGGCUAUUUAUAGCCUCAUGAAAAGUUGAUGGCUCUCCAUCUUCUGUCAAUAAGUAGUAUGCAACAUUACCCUCCAUAAUGUAAUAUGAGUGCCAAGCCAGUUCUCUUCUCUUCCGUGUUGAUCGUUGAACAUUUGGAGCACCAGAUUCAGCUUGUUCUUCAUGUUCUAGUGUUGCUUCAGAAGAAUCUAUAUCUACUCGUUCGUCUCCAACUUCGACUGUAGUAGUCUCUGGUUUUUCUUUUGAAGUGCUAUCAUUUCCUUUUUCCUGUGUUUUGGCUUCUGCAAAUAUGACAUCUCUACUGAUUAUCACCUUAUGGGUAGUGGGAUCCCCCAGGCGGUACCCCUUAACUCCAUUAGGAUACCCUAAGAAAAUACAUUUUCUAGAUUUUGGAUCCAGCUUUGAUGUUUCUUGGGUGUUUUACAUAACGUACACAGGACUUCCAAAUAUACGUAAGUGAGAAUAAUUAGCCGGUUUAUUAGUCCACAUUUCCAUCGGUGUCUUCAAGUCAAUUGCGGUUGAUGGCGACUGAUUGAUCACAUAACAGGUAGUUUUGACUGCUUCUGCCCAGAAUGACUUGGCUAACUUUGAAGUUCUCAACAUUGCUCUUGUUCUUUCUAACAAUGUUCUGUUCAUCCGCUCUGCCACUCCAUUUCGCUGUAGAGUGUAUGCCACUAUGAACUGUCUCUUGAUACCUUCUUGUUGACAGAAGUUAUCAAAUUAAUCACCAGUAUAUUCUUUUCCAUUGUCAGUCCUCAGACACUUGAUCUUCUUUUCAAAUUCAAGCUCCACAUGUGCUUUGAAUACUUUGAAGACUACAAACACGUCUGCCUUUCUCUUAAUUGGAUACACCCAACGUCUCCUGGAGUAAUCAUCAAUAAAAGAUACAAAGUAUCUUGCACCUCCUAGGGACAUAACCGGUGCUUGCCAAACUCGAAAUGGACCAGUUCCAAGAUAGCUUUACUUCUAGGAGUAGAACCAUUGAACUUCAAUCUGUGCUAUUUACUAGUAAUACAAUGCUCACAAAAGGGUAAUGAAACCUUUUUGAGACCUGGAAGAAGCUUUUGUUCUGAGAGAAUUUUCAAACCACGUUCCGACAUGUGACCAAGCUUGCGAUGCCACAUCAUCGUUAAUUCUUCUGCUGAACCUGUCGAUGCGACAGAUGCUUCUCCUUCUUAUAGUGUUUUCCUUUAAGCAUGUACAAAUUUGCAGCUAUCUUUUCUGCUUUUAUCACCACAAGCGCGCCUCUAAUUAUUUUCAUAAUCCCAUCUUGUAUAUGGGUUUUGCAACCAAUGCUAUCUAAUUGUCCUAAAGACAAUAGAUUUUUCUUCAAGCCUUUUACGCGCCGUACCUCCUGAAUAGUGCAAAUUGUAUCAUCAUACAUUUUCAAUUUGAUGGUACCAAUACCAGCGAUCUCCAAGGCACAAUCAUUUUCCAUAAACACAGAUCCUCCUGGAAUAAUCUCAUAUUGAUGGAACCAUUCCCUCAUUGGUGUCAUGUGCCAUGUAGCUCCUGAAUACAUAAGCCAGACAUUAGAAAAUUUAUUUCUGCCUUCAACAAUUGUUGUUGCCUCGCUGUACAAAAUUUCACCAUCAUCUGAGGUGCUUGCUACACAACCCUGAGCUUUUGACAUCUCAGGACCUUUUUCUUUGGCUUCUUCAUUCUUCUUAAAGCUCCAACAAUCCCUUUUUAAAUGCCCUUUCUUGCCACAGUAAUGACACUUGACAUUUUUAUUACUCUUGAAUUUUGAUCUACUCUGAUUAUGACUCCCACUGGAGCCACGUUCCGUUGAUCUCUCUCUCAUCAUCAUUAAAGCUUCCACCUGAUGCAAACUUGUCGAUCUAUCCUCCUCAUUUUUUUUGCCGACUUUCUUCUUCAAGAACAGCAGCUACAAUAAGACUAGAGUUUCAAGGUUGUUGGUUAAGUUGAUGAUGAGUAGAUCAUACGAAUCUGGCAGACUUUGAAGUAAGAUUUCAGCACGUUCACCCGCCUCUAUAUUAUACUCCAUUGAUGUGAGCUGUGAAAAUAAAGUGUUGAGGGUGUUGAUGUGGUCGGUCACCGUAGUUGACUCCAUCAUCCGAAGGGUGUAAAGCUUCCUCUUCAAGAAGAUUUUGUUGUGUAACGAUUUGGCCUCGUACUGUUUUGUCAGCAUAUCCCAUAUAUUCUUUCGCCGUCUUUUUCUCUACCAUACUUGACAAUACUCCAUCGGCUAGUGCAAGGUGCAGAUUAGCAACUGCAUUGCUAUCCAUCUCGUUCCACUUAGUAUCAUCAAUGAUCUUCACAGGCCUUUGUCCAAUUGCCGCCAAGCAGUUAUCUUUCCGCAAAACUGCUUUUAUUCUCAUUUUCCAUAAUGAGAAAUUAUUCCCAUUGAACUUUUCAAUCUCAUACUUUGUCGCCAUUUUGUUCACCAAUAAUAUAACUAAACAACGACCCUACACAGAACCUUGCUCUGAUACCACUGUUGUUUUAAUAACGCGUGGGUCGACUUUGACUAACAAAUAAUGAAAUUGAGAAAACGCGGCUAAAAAUGGAUACAAGUAUUUACGUGAUUCACCCAAAUUUUGGCUACGUCCACAGGCAAAUAUAUGAGGAUUUUACUAUAGUAGGAGAAUUAUAAAAACUCUCUAAAUACAAGGAGAUACCAACAAUUAAUCUCUCUUGUAAUAGAAAAAACAAGUAGGAAAUACUAUAGGAAGAAACAAUAAUUUUUCUCUCUAUUUUUAUCUCUCUACUCACAAUUUUCACUCUACUCAAUCUUUUCUUUUCUCUCAAUUUUUUUCUCUCCAACACGGCUUAUUUCACUUGGCAUGUUAGUUCUCUAUUCAUAGAGAAAUUUGGCUUCAAACNGUAGAAGUAGCCACGAUAGACUGUAGUUUCGAAACCCAGCUUACAGCUCCUCCAGCAAGAGUAAACACAUAUCCAGUGAUGGACUUACUUUUGUCAAGAUCACCUGCAUAAUCUGAAUCAACAUAGCCUCUGACAAUAAAAUCUGAUCCGCCAUAACAUAAUGUAACAUUUGAGGUACCCUUGACAUAUCUCAGGAUCCUCUUUACAGUACUCCAAUGCUCUUUAUCAAGAUUUGCCAUGUAUCGACUAACCACUCCUACUGCUUGUACAAUGUCUGGUCUUGUACAGAUCAUAACAAACAUCAGGCUACCCACUACUGAUGCAUACGGUACUCUAGACAUCUCCACUUUCUCUGCUUCUUUGCUAGGACUCAUACUUGAGGAUAACUUAAAAUUAAUAGGAAGAGGGGUAGAAAUUGGCUUACAAUCUUUCAUAUUGAAGCGAUGCAAGAUUUUCUUCAAGUAGUUCUUCUAAUUAAGCCAAAUCUUUCUAUUAUUUCUGUCUCGAUAAAUUUGCAUCCAUAGAAUCUUGUUUGUUGGUCCCAAGUCCUUCAUUUCAAACUCCCUAGCUAACUGUGCCAUCAAAUUAUCAAUACGAUCUUUGUUCGAGCCUAUUACCAACAUGUCAUCAACAUACAACAGCAGAAUAAUGAAAUCAUUAUCACCAAAUCUCAUCUAGUAUGCACAUGGAUCUUAACUAAGUUUGUUGUAUCCAAGGCUCAUGAUGAAGGAAUCAAAUCUCUUAUACCAACAUCUCGGCACCUGUUUAAGACCGUAUAGAGAUUUGUUCAACCUGCAAACCAAGUUCUCUUUUCCUUUUUCUUCAAAACCUUCUGGUUGGAGCAUAUAAAUCUCUUCUUCAAGUUCUCCAUGAAGAAAUGCAAUUUUUACAUCUAAUAGCUCGAAGUGUAAGUCAAAUGUAGUACACAUUCCCAAGACUACUCGAAUUGUUGUGGUCGAACCACAGGAAAAAAUAUUUCGUUGAAGUCUAUGCCUUCUUUCUGAGCAUACCCUUUCACCACCAGUCUCGCACGAUACCGCUCCACUUGGUCAUUGCUAUCUCGUUUUAUCUUAUAGACCCAUUUAUUCCCAAUGGCCUUCCUUCCAUGUGGUAGUGGAACAAGAUUCCAUGUCUUGUUCUUAUGAAGAGUUUCAAUUUCUUCUUGCAUUACAGCCAUCCACUGAGAAACUUCUUGGCUAUUUAUAGCCUCAUGAAAAGUUGAUGGCUCUCCAUCUUCUGUCAAUAAGUAGUAUGCAACAUUACCCUCCAUAAUGUAAUAUGAGUGCCAAGCCAGUUCUCUUCUCUUCCGUGUUGAUCGUUGAACAUUUGGAGCACCAGAUUCAGCUUGUUCUUCAUGUUCUAGUGUUGCUUCAGAAGAAUCUAUAUCUACUCGUUCGUCUCCAACUUCGACUGUAGUAGUCUCUGGUUUUUCUUUUGAAGUGCUAUCAUUUCCUUUUUCCUGUGUUUUGGCUUCUGCAAAUAUGACAUCUCUACUGAUUAUCACCUUAUGGGUAGUGGGAUCCCCCAGGCGGUACCCCUUAACUCCAUUAGGAUACCCUAAGAAAAUACAUUUUCUAGAUUUUGGAUCCAGCUUUGAUGUUUCUUGGGUGUUUUACAUAACGUACACAGGACUUCCAAAUAUAUGUAAGUGAGAAUAAUUAGCCGGUUUAUUAGUCCACAUUUCCAUCGGUGUCUUCAAGUCAAUUGCGGUUGAUGGCGACUGAUUGAUCACAUAACAGGUGGUUUUGACUGCUUCUGCCCAGAAUGACUUGGCUAACUUUGAAGUUCUCAACAUUGCUCUUGUUCUUUCUAACAAUGUUCUGUUCAUCCGCUCUGCCACUCCAUUUCGCUGUAGAGUGUAUGCCACUAUGAACUGUCUCUUGAUACCUUCUUGUUGACAGAAGUUAUCAAAUUAAUCACCAGUAUAUUCUUUUCCAUUGUCAGUCCUCAGACACUUGAUCUUCUUUUCAAAUUCAAGCUCCACAUGUGCUUUGAAUACUUUGAAGACUACAAACACGUCUGCCUUUCUCUUAAUUGGAUACACCCAACGUCUCCUGGAGUAAUCAUCAAUAAAAGAUACAAAGUAUCUUGCACCUCCUAGGGACAUAACCGGUGCUUGCCAAACUCGAAAUGGACCAGUUCCAAGAUAGCUUUACUUCUAGGAGUAGAACCAUUGAACUUCAAUCUGUGCUAUUUACUAGUAAUACAAUGCUCACAAAAGGGUAAUGAAACCUUUUUGAGACCUGGAAGAAGCUUUUGUUCUGAGAGAAUUUUCAAACCACGUUCCGACAUGUGACCAAGCUUGCGAUGCCACAUCAUCGUUAAUUCUUCUGCUGAACCUGUCGAUGCGACAUAUGCUUCUCCUUCUUAUAGUGUUUCUCCUUUAAGCAUGUACAAAUUUGCAGCUAUCUUUUUUGCUUUUAUCACCACAAGCGCGCCUCUGAUUAUUUUCAUAAUCCCAUCUUGUAUAUGGGUUUUGCAACCAAUGCUAUCUAAUUGUCCUAAAGACAAUAGAUUUUUCUUCAAGCCUUUUACGUGCCGUACCUCCUGAAUAGUGCAAAUUGUAUCAUCAUACAUUUUCAAUUUGAUGGUACCAAUACCAGCGAUCUCCAAGGCACAAUCAUUUUCCAUAAACACAGAUCCUCCUGGAAUAAUCUCAUAUUGAUGGAACCAUUCCCUCAUUGGUGUCAUGUGCCAUGUAGCUCCUGAAUCCAUAAGCCAGACAUUAGAAAAUUUAUUUCUGCCUUCAACAAUUGUUGUUGCCUCGCUGUACAAAAUUUCACCAUCAUCUGAGGUGCUUGCUACACAACCCUGAGCUUUUGACAUCUCAGGACCUUUUUCUUUGGCUUCUUCAUUCUUCUUAAAGCUCCAACAAUCCCUUUUUAAAUGCCCUUUCUUGCCACAGUAAUGACACUUGACAUUUUUAUUACUCUUGAAUUUUGAUCUACUCUGAUUAUGACUCCCACUGGAGCCACGUUCCGUUGAUCUCCCUCUCAUCAUCAUUAAAGCUUCCACCUGAUGCAAACUUGUCGAUCUAUCCUCCUCAUUUUUUUUGCCGACUUUCUUCUUCAAGAACAGCAGCUACAAUAAGACUAGAGUUUCAAGGUUGUUGGUUAAGUUGAUGAUGAGUAGAUCAUACGAAUCUGGCAGACUUUGAAGUAAGAUUUCAGCACGUUCACCCGCCUCUAUAUUAUGCUCCAUUGAUGUGAGCUGUGAAAAAAAAGUGUUGAGGGUGUUGAUGUGGUCGGUUACCGUAGUUGACUCCAUCAUCCGAAGGGUGUAAAGCUUCCUCUUCAAGAAGAUUUUGUUGUGUAACGAUUUGGCCUCGUACUGUUUUGUCAGCAUAUCCCAUAUUUCUUUCGCCGUCUUUUUCUCUACCACACUUGACAAUACUCCAUCGGCUAGUGCAAGGUGCAGAUUAGCAACUGCAUUGCUAUCCAUCUCGUUCCACUUAGUAUCAUCAAUGAUCUUCACAGGCCUUUGUCCAAUUGCCGCCAAGCAGUUAUCUUUCCGCAAAACUGCUUUUAUUCUCAUUUUCCAUAAUGAGAAAUUAUUCCCAUUGAACUUUUCAAUCUCAUACUUUGUCGCCAUUUUGUUCACCAAUAAUAUAACUAAACAACGACCCUACACAGAACCUUGCUCUGAUACCACUGUUGUUUUAAUAACGCGUGGGUCGACUUUGACUAACAAAUAAUGAAAUUGAGAAAACGCGGCUAAAAAUGGAUACAAGUAUUUACGUGAUUCACCCAAAUUUUGGCUACGUCCACGGGCAAAUAUAUGAGGAUUUUACUAUAGUAGGAGAAUUAUAAAAACUCUCUAAAUACAAGGAGAUAUCAACAAUUAAUCUCUCUUGUAAUAGAAAAAACAAGUAGGAAAUACUAUAGGAAGAAACAAUAAUUUUUCACUCUAUUUUUAUCUCUCUACUCACAAUUUUCACUCUACUCAAUCUUUUCUUUUCUCUCAAUUUUUUUCUCUCCAACACGGCUUAUUUCACUUGGCAUGUUAGUUCUCUAUUCAUAGAGAAAUUUGGCUUCAAACUGUCUCACUUUGUUUCGCUCAAAACCUGCCAUCAAGGUGCAUAUGAAAGAGGAGAGUAGGAUGUAUAUGAGAACCUCGUUAGACAAUUAAUAGCCUUGCAUGUGGGAGACUUGUUCAUGAAGAAAGUGGCUGGACCAAAGCUCAAAAAUUCCACUGCCUAUGUAUUAAAUGCUUGCAUGAAUUUUAUCAUUUUGUAGUCAACAUUUGUGGCUUUAAUUUUCAACACAUUCACUGUUGUCAACUGGUUUUUCUACUAUUCAUCAAUAAACAUCUCACUAUUGUCCUCUUGCAUGUCUCUUCUCAACCCACUUUCUUCCUCUUUCGCUUCUUUUUCUCUUUCGCUUCUUUUCCCACCAUCUUCAAAUUUUUCCCAGAAUUCCUUCGUAGAAAAUAAUCAUAGCUCUCUUUUUUUCAAUUCUCUAACCACGUUUACAUUUUUCCCCGAAUCACAACAAUAUAGGUUCUCGAAAAGGAAAACAAUUAAAUACAUAAUUCUGUGCUUUCCGUAACUGAAUCCAUUUCCUUUUCGAUAAUGGAAGAAUAAAAUUAUGUUGCCGGUCUCAGACGAUGUGCCGGAGCGGAGGUUGUGAGAACAUCGGAGGCUACGGUGAUGAUGUUGGUUUCCUGCUCUUUUUCGUCUGCAUUUUUCACUUUAGUUUGUAAAAGGUCUCGGGUAUACUUGUUUAUGUAUAUUUUCUAUAACAUAUUUUAUACAUAAUUUUUUUUAUAUUAUGUGUAAAAAGAAGUUUUAAGAACAUGGUUUUUACACUUUAUAUAUUUUUAUAUUUUUUUAUAUUAUGUGUCGAGGAAAUUUCUGCACAAAAAUAGUUAUGGAAAAGUGUAAAGCAAAAACCAAUCUUACUUGCAGGAUGAAUUUUCCACGGAAUAUGAACAAAAACUGAAGGAUGUCAAGGAAUUAUUGAAAUCAGAGGAAUUAGAAAAUCAAAUAGAAAGCCUAAUGUUGGUGGAUGCUAUCUAGCGUCUAAGUGUUGACUACCAUUUUCAGGAAGAGAUUGAAUCAGUUCUUCGGUGACAUUAUAAGGAAGCCACUUCUUUUGAUGGAUACACUCUUCAUGAUCUUUCACUUUUCUUCAGACUCUUGAGAGAACAUGAUUUUUACAUUCCCGCAGGUUGAGCUUUUUCCCCCUCUUUGUUUGGUGCUUGUUUUUGUUAAUUACCCAUGACUAG
RNAcentral lists this long non-coding RNA (12122 nucleotides) under Olea europaea subsp. europaea. The record is from RNAcentral. Lineage: Eukaryota; Viridiplantae; Streptophyta; Magnoliopsida; Lamiales; Oleaceae.